ACAACCAAAUAACGCUGAAAACCCUGGUUCUCAUUCGCUCACUACUGUUAAGCAGUGUUAAGACUGGUCAGUACUUAGAUGGGGGACUGCUUGGGAACACCAGGUUCUGUAAG
Acanthosepion pharaonis is the source of this 113-nucleotide non-coding RNA. Lineage: Eukaryota; Metazoa; Mollusca; Cephalopoda; Sepiida; Sepiidae. The record is from the annotation of a GenBank genome assembly.